This 685-nucleotide long non-coding RNA is filed under the name Salmo salar (Atlantic salmon). RNAcentral describes it as "lncRNA (ENSSSAG00000083253.1)". Lineage: Eukaryota; Metazoa; Chordata; Actinopteri; Salmoniformes; Salmonidae. The record is from RNAcentral.
ACUUGCUAGUCUCCUGUGAAAGUCGAUAUCUCUGCCCUGUUGUGGAUAGACCUGCUAGUCUCCUGUGAAGGUGGAUAUCUCUGCCCUGUUGUGGACAGACCUGCUAGUCUCCUGUGAAGGUCGAUAUCUCUGCCCUGUUGUGGACAGACCUGCUAGUCUCCUGUGAAGGUGGAUAUCUCUGCCCUGUUGUGGACAGACCUGCUAGUCUCCUGUGAAGGUGGAUAUGUCUGCCCUGUUGUGGACCCAGACCUGCUAGUCUCCUGUGAAGGUGGAUAUCUCUGCCCUGUUGUGGACAGACCCGCUAGUCUCCUGUGAAGGUGGAUAUCUCUGCCCUGUUGUGGACAGACCCGCUAGUCUCCUGUGAAGGUGGAUAUCUCUGCCCUGUUGUGGACAGACCUGCUAGUCUCCUGUGAAGGUGGAUAUCUCUGCCCUGUUGUGGACAGACCCGCUAGUCUCCUGUGAAGGUGGAUAUCUCUGCCCUGUUGUGGACAGACCCGCUAGUCUCCAGUGAAGGUGGAUAUCUCUGCCCUGUUGUGGACAGACCUGCUAGUCUCCUGUGAAGGUGGAUAUCUCUGCCCUGUUGUGGACCCAGACCUGUAAUGAACACCAAUGUUACUGCUAACUGUCAGAUCUUAUCUACACACCCACACAGCCGGUAGGGUUAAAUUAACCCAUACAUAACACC